This 253-nucleotide ribosomal RNA is filed under the name uncultured bacterium. Its description in RNAcentral is "partial 16S ribosomal RNA". It matches the Rfam family "Bacterial small subunit ribosomal RNA", at positions 524 to 776 of the family's 1533-position model. The record is from RNAcentral.
UACGUAGGGUGCAAGCGUUAUCCGGAAUUAUUGGGCGUAAAGAGCUCGUAGGCGGUUUGUCGCGUCUGCUGUGAAAACUGGAGGCUCAACCUCGGGCCUGCAGUGGGUACGGGCAGACUUGAGUGCGGUAGGGGAGAAUGGAAUUCCUGGUGUAGCGGUGGAAUGCGCAGAUAUCAGGAGGAACACCGAUGGCGAAGGCAGUUCUCUGGGCCGUAACUGACGCUGAGGAGCGAAAGCGUGGGGAGCGAACAGG